UAUCAAUAAGCGGAGGAAAAGAAACCAACAGGGAUUGCCUCAGUAACGGCGAGUGAAGCGGCAAAAGCUCAAAUUUGAAAUCUGGCACUAUUCGUGUCUGAGUUGUAAUUUGGAGAGGCAAC
This 122-nucleotide ribosomal RNA is filed under the name Tuber brumale (winter truffle). RNAcentral's name for it is "partial 28S large subunit ribosomal RNA". It matches the Rfam family "Eukaryotic large subunit ribosomal RNA", at positions 41 to 162 of the family's 3401-position model. The record is from RNAcentral. Lineage: Eukaryota; Fungi; Ascomycota; Pezizomycetes; Pezizales; Tuberaceae.